Molecule: ribosomal RNA, 430 nt
Filed under: Pseudomonadota bacterium
Lineage: Bacteria; Pseudomonadati; Pseudomonadota
Description: Proteobacteria bacterium partial 16S ribosomal RNA
Rfam family: Bacterial small subunit ribosomal RNA
Source: RNAcentral
UGGGGAAUAUUGGACAAUGGGGGGAACCCUGAUCCAGCCAUGCCGCGUGUGUGAAGAAGGCCUUAUGGUUGUAAAGCACUUUAAGCGAGGAGGAGGGUACUGGUAUUAAUACUACCAGGUACUGGACGUUACUCGCAGAAUAAGCACCGGCUAACUCUGUGCCAGCAGCCGCGGUAAUACAGAGGGUGCGAGCGUUAAUCGGAUUUACUGGGCGUAAAGCGUGCGUAGGCGGCUAAUUGAGUCGGAUGUGAAAUCACCGAGCUUAACUUGGGAAUUGCAUUCGAUACUGGUUAGCUAGAGUGUGGGAGAGGAUGGUAGAAUUCCAGGUGUAGCGGUGAAAAGCGUAGAGAUCUGGAGGAAUACCGAUGGCGAAGGCAGCCAUCUGGCCUAACACUGACGCUGAGGUACGAAAGCAUGGGGAGCAAACAGG